RNAcentral lists this transfer RNA (74 nucleotides) under Canis lupus familiaris (dog). It matches the Rfam family "tRNA". Rfam says of the family: Transfer RNA (tRNA) molecules are approximately 80 nucleotides in length. Their secondary structure includes four short double-helical elements and three loops (D, anti-codon, and T loops). Further hydrogen bonds mediate the characteristic L-shaped molecular structure. tRNAs have two regions of fundamental functional importance: the anti-codon, which is responsible for specific mRNA codon recognition, and the 3' end, to which the tRNAs corresponding amino acid is attached (by aminoacyl-tRNA synthetases). tRNAs cope with the degeneracy of the genetic code in two manners: having more than one tRNA (with a specific anti-codon) for a particular amino acid; and 'wobble' base-pairing, i.e. permitting non-standard base-pairing at the 3rd anti-codon position. RNAcentral also lists the same sequence under 1 other name. Lineage: Eukaryota; Metazoa; Chordata; Mammalia; Carnivora; Canidae. The record is from Rfam by way of RNAcentral.
GCCUGGCUGGCUCAGUUGGUGAGAGUGUGAGACUCUUGAUCCCGGAGUUGUGAGUUCGAGCCCCAUGUUGGGUG